AUUUAUGAAUAAUAAAUGACCGUGCAUUCAGCAGGAGCCGUUAAUUUGCAUAUCACCGCAGCUAGUUUUAUUUCCUUAGUGCCGUGUUAUCAUGAAGCCCUUCAAGCCGGCAUAAACCAGAACCAAAGAAAUAAUGCUUUAACAGCACCACGCUGCAAUUGAAUUUGGCAUUGAUGUCACCUCUGAUGUCCAUGGCUGCAGCAGAACACAGCAGACAGCUGAGUGUGCAGUAGCAGAUUCUGGAGCUGCAGUGUGCUCGUGCACCAACAGGAGCUGGAGGCGAAGUGUCUAUGCAGAGGCCUGCUUCCCUCGGGACUCUUCCAAAUGACUCCGGUGACCCUGCGGCCCUC
Long non-coding RNA from Labrus mixtus (cuckoo wrasse), 350 nucleotides. RefSeq lists it as uncharacterized. The record is from RefSeq and is a predicted model, not a curated record. Lineage: Eukaryota; Metazoa; Chordata; Actinopteri; Labriformes; Labridae. The transcript is spliced from 3 exons.